AUAAAGAUAAAUAAAAGAGAAUAAUGAUAUUAAAGAAAGGAUAAGAUUGAGGAUGUUGGACUGUAAUGGAACUGACGGGUUUAUUACAGGUCAUUAAUCGCUGACGAGCAAUGAGAGGAAGGAUCGAGCUACGGGCCGUGGUCUUCCAUAAUUAGGCUUGAGGAGCCAUAAGUUAACGUAUGUUAAAAACUAAGAAAAGAAAGUAAAAGAUCUUGCGGUGAGCAAGACGGAAGCUUGUCUGUUAUAGCUUACUAGGAAAGUUUAAGCUAUAUGCUUGUUGUUUGAGUCUAUGCUUAUGAAAUAGAAAUUGUGUGAAAGUAUAAUCGUGUUAUUGUGAUUCGGUGGACAGUUUUGACUGCCUUCACUGAAUAAUUAAUUACUCACCCCCUUUUCUUUUCCCUCAGGUGAGGAAGAGAAUGUUGAGUAGCUGCUCGCUUGGUGUUAUUUCGGGGACUUUGGGUUUUAUUUGAUUUAUCGUUAUUUCUUAU
This 488-nucleotide small RNA is filed under the name Arabidopsis thaliana (thale cress). RNAcentral's name for it is "ATSL278740". Lineage: Eukaryota; Viridiplantae; Streptophyta; Magnoliopsida; Brassicales; Brassicaceae. The record is from RNAcentral.